Non-coding RNA from Purpureocillium lavendulum, 83 nucleotides. The record is from the annotation of a GenBank genome assembly. NCBI's taxonomy places the organism in Eukaryota, Fungi, Ascomycota, Sordariomycetes, Hypocreales, Ophiocordycipitaceae.
GGGGGGCUGGCGCAACGGUAGCGCGUCAGAUUCCAGUACUUGGAGAUUCCUGAAGGUUAUCCGUUCGAAUCGGGUGCUCCUCA